RNAcentral lists this ribosomal RNA (245 nucleotides) under uncultured Fibrobacter sp. RNAcentral's name for it is "partial 16S ribosomal RNA". It matches the Rfam family "Bacterial small subunit ribosomal RNA", at positions 524 to 767 of the family's 1533-position model. The record is from RNAcentral. Lineage: Bacteria; Pseudomonadati; Fibrobacterota; Fibrobacteria; Fibrobacterales; Fibrobacteraceae.
UACGAGGGGUGCAAGCGUUGUUCGGAAUCACUGGGCGUAAAGGGAGCGUAGGCGGAGAAGCAAGCGGACUGUACAAUACCGGGGCCCAACCCCGGACCUGCAGUUCGGACUGCUUCUCUUGGAUAGUUCAGGGGCAGGCGGAAUUCCUGGUGUAGCGGUGGAAUGCGUAGAGAUCAGGAAGAACACCGAUGGCGAAGGCAGCCUGCUGGGGACUUUAUCGACGCUGAGGCUCGAAAGCGCGGGUA